CUCAGAUUGAACGCUAGCGGGAUGCCUUACACAUGCAAGUCGAACGGCAGCACGGACUUCGGUCUGGUGGCGAGUGGCGAACGGGUGAGUAAUGUAUCGGAACGUGCCUAGUAGCGGGGGAUAACUACGCGAAAGCGUAGCUAAUACCGCAUACGCCCUACGGGGGAAAGCAGGGGAUCGCAAGACCUUGCACUAUUAGAGCGGCCGAUAUCGGAUUAGCUAGUUGGUGGGGUAACGGCUCACCAAGGCGACGAUCCGUAGCUGGUUUGAGAGGACGACCAGCCACACUGGGACUGAGACACGGCCCAGACUCCUACGGGAGGCAGCAGUGGGGAAUUUUGGACAAUGGGGGAAACCCUGAUCCAGCCAUCCCGCGUGUGCGAUGAAGGCCUUCGGGUUGUAAAGCACUUUUGGCAGGAAAGAAACGUCAUGGGUUAAUACCCCGUGAAACUGACGGUACCUGCAGAAUAAGCACCGGCUAACUACGUGCCAGCAGCCGCGGUAAUACGUAGGGUGCAAGCGUUAAUCGGAAUUACUGGGCGUAAAGCGUGCGCAGGCGGUUCGGAAAGAAAGAUGUGAAAUCCCAGAGCUUAACUUUGGAACUGCAUUUUUAACUACCGAGCUAGAGUGUGUCAGAGGGAGGUGGAAUUCCGCGUGUAGCAGUGAAAUGCGUAGAUAUGCGGAGGAACACCGAUGGCGAAGGCAGCCUCCUGGGAUAAC
This 720-nucleotide ribosomal RNA is filed under the name Achromobacter sp. 110609_136_C_F10. RNAcentral describes it as "bacterial SSU rRNA". It matches the Rfam family "Bacterial small subunit ribosomal RNA", at positions 23 to 738 of the family's 1533-position model. The record is from RNAcentral. Lineage: Bacteria; Pseudomonadati; Pseudomonadota; Betaproteobacteria; Burkholderiales; Alcaligenaceae.